UGGCAGAGGAGGGAGGAGGGUUUCUAGCUGAGAGAGACUGCGGCUGUGGGCCUGCAGCCUACCCCUCUUCAAGCUCUCCGGAGCCGUUCCUGCGAAACCAGCCCCCACAAAUAAGGAAGCUGGGAUUCAGAGAAAUUAAGGGACUUGGUGAAGCAGAGAAUGCCAAGGGAAUUGAUUCAGUAGUGGACGGGGAGUCCCUGAAGACUGUUGAGCAGUGAAGAGACCUGAUCGCAUACUAAAAAAGUACAUGCAAUGGCAAGAAGAUCAACUAAGAGGACUCAAUGUACAAUAUUCCAUUCCAGCAUUGAAUUUGGGGUCAAUGGAUGACAUUCAGAUGCUCUACUCUUGCCAUGCUUUCUACUUUCAUGAGAAUUUUGAUUUAUUCUAUGUUAAAAUUAACUAAGUUAAUUUUAAUCAAUCCCUACCCUUGAUGUAAAUGUACACUUCCAGCAAGGUCCUGGUUUGGGGAGUUUGUUCAUUUAACAAAUGUUUAAUGAGCACCUGCUAGUUUCUAGCCCAGUGCUAAAUGCUGAGUUACUGAAGUAAAAAUUGUGUUCCCUCCAGGAGCUCCCAGGCUGGAGGGGGCAGAAAAUUAUUACAUGCAAGCACAGAUGACUUGUAAGAAUCUUUGCUGAUUUGGAUGGAAAUUUUCUGCCCUUGGAAUUUGGUAUCUAAUCCCUAAAUAAAACACUUUAAAGAAUGCCAAUUAGAAGGAAUAGGCAAGACUAAAA
Long non-coding RNA from Homo sapiens (human), 731 nucleotides. Ensembl annotates it as PU.1 (SPI1) induced regulator of S100A8 and S100A9 alarmin transcription 1. Its record names the gene PIRAT1. Lineage: Eukaryota; Metazoa; Chordata; Mammalia; Primates; Hominidae. The record is from Ensembl.